This 436-nucleotide ribosomal RNA is filed under the name uncultured bacterium. RNAcentral describes it as "bacterial SSU rRNA". It matches the Rfam family "Bacterial small subunit ribosomal RNA", at positions 774 to 1205 of the family's 1533-position model. The record is from RNAcentral.
AGUAAAUAGAUACCCCGGUAGUCCACGCCCUAAACGAUGUCAACUAGUUGUUGGGGGAGUAAAAUCCCUUAGUAACGCAGCUAAACGCGUGAAAGUUGACCGCCUGGGGAGUACGGUCGCAAGAUUAAAACUCAAAGGAAUUGACGGGGCCCGCACAAGCGGUGGAUUAUGUGGAUUAAUUCGAUGCAACGCGAAAAACCUUACCUGGCCUUGACAUGCCACUAACGAAGCAGAGAUGCAUUAGGUGCCCGAAAGGGAAAGUGGACACAGGUGCUGCAUGGCUGUCGUCAGCUCGUGUCGUGAGAUGUUGGGUUAAGUCCCGCAACGAGCGCAACCCUUGCCAAUAAUUGCCAUCAUUCAGUUGGGCACUUUAUUGGGACUGCCGGUGACGAACCGGAGGAAGGUGGGGAUGACGUCAAGUCCUCAUGGCCCUUAU